Rosa rugosa (rugosa rose) is the source of this 255-nucleotide long non-coding RNA. RefSeq lists it as uncharacterized. The transcript is spliced from 2 exons. The record is from RefSeq and is a predicted model, not a curated record. NCBI's taxonomy places the organism in Eukaryota, Viridiplantae, Streptophyta, Magnoliopsida, Rosales, Rosaceae.
CCCCCCCCCCCCCCCCUCCUUUUCCAUAUAUGUGCACACGAUGAAAUAAAAAGCAUACAGAUCGCGAGGGCUGCAGUUUCUGCUUACUGGAUGUUGUCCUAUUUGAGUGCAUGCCUUGGGUGGGGUUUCAACCAUGUCCAGCUUCCAACCACUAAUGAAUUUUAUAGUGUUGGGGUUGCAGAAUAAAAUGUAGGACUUGAUCUAUUGCUUGAACAUGUCACAAUCUGAAGCUAAUUGAUCACCCUUUCUCUUUCA